CGGGGUGUAGCUCAGUUGGCUAGAGUGCGUCGUUCGGGACGACGAGGUCGUGGGUUCAAGUCCCACCACCCCGACCA
RNAcentral lists this transfer RNA (77 nucleotides) under Patescibacteria group bacterium. RNAcentral's name for it is "tRNA-Pro". It matches the Rfam family "tRNA". Rfam says of the family: Transfer RNA (tRNA) molecules are approximately 80 nucleotides in length. The record is from RNAcentral.